AAGAUAGGACCGGUCUACCCGGGAUGUUCAUAACCCUUUGUUGUCCGACUCUGUUGCCUCCGGGGCGACCCUGCCUUCGGGCGGGGGCUCCGGGUGGACACUUCAAACUCUUGCGUAACUUUGCAGUCUGAGUAAACUUAAUUAAUAAAUUAAAACUUUUAACAACGGAUCUCUUGGUUCUGGCAUCGAUGAAGAACGCAGCGAAAUGCGAUAAGUAAUGUGAAUUGCAGAAUUCAGUGAAUCAUCGAAUCUUUGAACGCACAUUGCGCCCCCUGGUAUUCCGGGGGGCAUGCCUGUUCGAGCGUCAUUUCACCACUCAAGCCUCGCUUGGUAUUGGGCAACGCGGUCCGCCGCGUGCCUCAAAUCGACCGGCUGGGUCUUCUGUCCCCUAAGCGUUGUGGAAACUAUUCGCUAAAGGGUGUUCGGGAGGCUACGCCGUAAAACAACCCCAUUUCUAAGGUUGACCUCGGAUCAGGUAGGGAUACCCGCUGAACUUAAGCAUAUCAAUAGCCGGAGGAAAA
RNAcentral lists this ribosomal RNA (521 nucleotides) under fungal sp. F19. RNAcentral describes it as "eukaryotic LSU rRNA". The stretch from base 154 to 307 matches the Rfam family "5.8S ribosomal RNA". The record is from RNAcentral. Lineage: Eukaryota; Fungi.